GAUGAACGCUGGCGGCGUGCCUAAUACAUGCAAGUCGAACGCUGAAGGAAGGAGCUUGCUCUUUCCGGAUGAGUUGCGAACGGGUGAGUAACGCGUAGGUAACCUGCCUGGUAGCGGGGGAUAACUAUUGGAAACGAUAGCUAAUACCGCAUAACAGUAGAUGUUGCAUGAUAUCUACUUAAAAGGUGCAAUUGCACCACUACCAGAUGGACCUGCGUUGUAUUAGCUAGUUGGUGAGGUAACGGCUCACCAAGGCGACGAUACAUAGCCGACCUGAGAGGGGGAUCGGCCACACUGGGACUGAGACACGGCCCAGACUCCUACGGGAGGCAGCAGUAGGGAAUCUUCGGCAAUGGACGGAAGUCUGACCGAGCAACGCCGCGUGAGUGAAGAAGGUUUUCGGAUCGUAAAGCUCUGUUGUAAGAGAAGAACGAGUGUGAGAGUGGAAAGUUCACACUGUGACGGUAUCUUACCAGAAAGGGACGGCUAACUACGUG
RNAcentral lists this ribosomal RNA (497 nucleotides) under uncultured bacterium. RNAcentral describes it as "partial 16S ribosomal RNA". It matches the Rfam family "Bacterial small subunit ribosomal RNA", at positions 28 to 507 of the family's 1533-position model. The record is from RNAcentral.